RNAcentral lists this ribosomal RNA (500 nucleotides) under Salmonella enterica subsp. enterica serovar Enteritidis. Its description in RNAcentral is "partial 23S ribosomal RNA". It matches the Rfam family "Bacterial large subunit ribosomal RNA", at positions 694 to 1192 of the family's 2925-position model. The record is from RNAcentral. Lineage: Bacteria; Pseudomonadati; Pseudomonadota; Gammaproteobacteria; Enterobacterales; Enterobacteriaceae.
GUUAAGUUGCAGGGUAUAGACCCGAAACCCGGUGAUCUAGCCAUGGGCAGGUUGAAGGUUGGGUAACACUAACUGGAGGACCGAACCGACUAAUGUUGAAAAAUUAGCGGAUGACCUGUGGCUGGGGGUGAAAGGCCAAUCAAACCGGGAGAUAGCUGGUUCUCCCCGAAAGCUAUUUAGGUAGCGCCUCGUGAAUUCAUCUCCGGGGGUAGAGCACUGUUUCGGCUAGGGGGCCAUCCCGGCUUACCAACCCGAUGCAAACUGCGAAUACCGGAGAAUGUUAUCACGGGAGACACACGGCGGGUGCUAACGUCCGUCGUGAAGAGGGAAACAACCCAGACCGCCAGCUAAGGUCCCAAAGUCAUGGUUAAGUGGGAAACGAUGUGGGAAGGCCCAGACAGCCAGGAUGUUGGCUUAGAAGCAGCCAUCAUUUAAAGAAAGCGUAAUAGCUCACUGGUCGAGUCGGCCUGCGCGGAAGAUGUAACGGGGCUAAACCAUGC